Molecule: transfer RNA, 71 nt
Filed under: Carapus bermudensis
Lineage: Eukaryota; Metazoa; Chordata; Actinopteri; Ophidiiformes; Carapidae
Description: tRNA-Asp
Rfam family: tRNA
About the family: Transfer RNA (tRNA) molecules are approximately 80 nucleotides in length. Their secondary structure includes four short double-helical elements and three loops (D, anti-codon, and T loops).
Source: RNAcentral
AAGACACUAGUAAUAACUUAUUACACUGCUUUGUCAAGGCAGAAUUGCAGGUUAGACCCCUGCGUGACUUG